CCGGCGGACACAAGUUCGUGCGGACACUGUCAUCGGUACCUGAUACGGCCGGUGCAG
Non-coding RNA from Streptomyces sp. NRRL F-6602, 57 nucleotides. NCBI's taxonomy places the organism in Bacteria, Bacillati, Actinomycetota, Actinomycetes, Kitasatosporales, Streptomycetaceae. The record is from Rfam.